This 620-nucleotide non-coding RNA is filed under the name Pongo abelii (Sumatran orangutan). The record is from RNAcentral. Lineage: Eukaryota; Metazoa; Chordata; Mammalia; Primates; Hominidae.
UCUCAUUAGGGAAAGAUGAUAUGCAUAUGCACACAUGUAAGGAGGAGUGACAAUAAUUAGCCAAAAGCUCUGUAGACAUAAUUGCCUCUGAUGAAGUGCUGACUGAUGACGUCGGACACUAGGCUAUUGACAGUGUACCCCAGGGAAAUGCAAAAGGGAAGCGAACUGCCUCAUGAAGUGAGAUUAGGAUUACUGGGUCAGAAGUGUGGAGAGGGUGAUUCAGAUGGACAAAGGAGCAGAGGCAGGAUUCAAGUGAUGCGUUUCGGAGGCAGUGCAGCCUGUUUGUGCUGAGUGGAAGGUGCACGAGGAACAUAGUAGACGGUAACAGGAAGGCAGGAGCUGUGAAGGCCUUUGAAGGUCAGGCCAGUUGUAAUAAAAGUAUUUCACAUUGUCAGGUAUCUUGGGAUGGUUGCCAAACAUUUUUCUAUGGUUUGUAUAAAUACAUAUCCAUUUUAUUUAUGUAAUUUAUGUAUUUAUUUAUUUUAGUUUUUUUUUUUGAGACGGAGUUUCACUCUUGUUGCCCAGGCUGGAGUGCAAUGGAGUGAUCCCAGCUCACUACAACCUCCGCCUCUCAGGUUCAAGCAAUUCUCCUGCCUCAGCCUCCUGAUAGUUGGGAUUAC